AGCAGCAGCCGCGGGAAUACGUAGGUGGCAAGCGUUGUCCGGAAUUAUUGGGCGUAAAGGGCUCGCAGGCGGUUUCUUAAGUCUGAUGUGAAAGCCCCCGGCUCAACCGGGGAGGGUCAUUGGAAACUGGGAAACUUGAGUGCAGAAGAGGAGAGUGGAAUUCCACGUGUAGCGGUGAAAUGCGUAGAGAUGUAGAGGAACACCAGUGGCGAAGGCGACUCUCUGGUCUGUAACUGACGCUGAGGAGCGAAAGCGUGGGGAGCGAACAGGAUUAGAUACCCGGGUAGUCCCUGUCUCUUAUAC
RNAcentral lists this ribosomal RNA (303 nucleotides) under uncultured bacterium. RNAcentral describes it as "partial 16S ribosomal RNA". It matches the Rfam family "Bacterial small subunit ribosomal RNA", at positions 507 to 807 of the family's 1533-position model. The record is from RNAcentral.